Lolium rigidum is the source of this 823-nucleotide long non-coding RNA. RefSeq lists it as uncharacterized. The transcript has 3 exons. Lineage: Eukaryota; Viridiplantae; Streptophyta; Magnoliopsida; Poales; Poaceae. The record is from RefSeq and is a predicted model, not a curated record.
CAGAUCCACCCCGAGCCCAUCGAUCCGCCGCCCACCUUCGCCCGGCUAAGCAUUCUUCGUCGAUGUCGUCUUCGAUUCGUCGUCCAUCUGUAGGUCGGGGAUGCAUCACGCGCUGCAUCCCCAGGUGACCCGCGGUGGCGGUGCCAUCCACUCCUGACCCUUCGAGAUCUGCAGGUUCUCCACCUUCCCACCUUCUGGCGGCGAUUCCCGCGACGUGCUUUGGGGCGGGGCGGCUGGGUGGCCAUGGAAGGUGACGAGACGAGGUGGGAAAGUGGGGCGCUGAGCACCAGAACUGCAACCCGAACCUCCCCGCAUCCGGAUCCGGCCGCCCGUGUCCAGGAACAUUCCCCCCAUCUCGUUUCCCUCCUAUAGGCUCCUGGUUUAGCUAUUUCUUCCCUUUUAACCGUCCGUCUCUGCAUGUUCCUUCCAGAUAAUGAACCGCAUCGGCAGGUGGUGGAGGUGAAAUGAGAUGAGGAAGGCGAUUGGAGAGCACCACCAGCAUUUAUUAGUGUUGAGAUCCAUCUCCGCAGGUUGUUGAAUGGUUUAUAGAGAGCUACAAGAUGUUCUUCCUGGGAUCAUCACCCAAUUGAGAGCACCUGAACAUGAUUGCUAAAGAGAUGCAGGUGGCUUUCUUGAAGAUCUUGUUCCCGUCCUGGAGAGAAUUUUGAAGAACAGCCUGAUCAUAGGCUCUGCCAGUAGUAGUGAUCUAUGCCUGACCUGACCGCUACAAGGUCAUGGUUUUCUAUGACGACCAUGUUUGGAUUCUUUUCUUAGACCUUCUGUGUAUUGUAUAUUUAAUUUUGGCGGUCAUCUCUGAAAAUGU